RNAcentral lists this ribosomal RNA (610 nucleotides) under uncultured bacterium. Its description in RNAcentral is "partial 16S rRNA". It matches the Rfam family "Bacterial small subunit ribosomal RNA", at positions 87 to 690 of the family's 1533-position model. The record is from RNAcentral.
UGNUGGCACCGGCGCACGGGUGAGUAACGCGUAUCCAACCUUCCCGUCACUCGGGGACAGCCCAGCGAAAGCUGGAUUAACCCCCGAUGUUGUCAUAUGAUAGCAUUAGAGUGUGACGAAAGGCUAACGGUGACGGAUGGGGAUGCGUCUGAUUAGGUAGUAGGCGGGGUAACGGCCCACCUAGCCGACGAUCAGUAGGGGUUCUGAGAGGAAGGUCCCCCACAUUGGAACUGAGACACGGUCCAAACUCCUACGGGAGGCAGCAGUGAGGAAUAUUGGUCAAUGGGCGAGAGCCUGAACCAGCCCAAGUAGCGUGCAGGACGACGGCCCUACGGGUUGUAAACUGCUUUUAUGAAGGAAUAAAGUCACCCACGUGUGNGGUGUUUGCAUGUACUUUAUGAAUAAGGACCGGCUAAUUCCGUGCCAGCANCCGCGGUAAUACGGAAGGUCCGGGGCGUUAUCCGGAUUNUUGGGNUUUAAAGGGAGCGGUAGGCCNCCCGGUAANCCNGUUGUGAAAUGGUCGUUGGUUCAACAACGUCNCUGCAGCNCGAAUGCCGGNCUUGAAUUNUNNGGAAANNGGGCGNAAUUUUNUGGNGUCNCGGUGAANGCU